Molecule: ribosomal RNA, 428 nt
Filed under: uncultured bacterium
Lineage: Bacteria
Description: bacterial SSU rRNA
Rfam family: Bacterial small subunit ribosomal RNA
Source: RNAcentral
UGAGGAAUUUUGCGCAAUGGGAGCAAUCCUGACGCAGCAACGCCGCGUGGGUGAAGAAGGCCUUCGGGUCGUAAAGCCCUGUCAGGUGGGAAGAAGGGUCCUAUCAGGAAAGGGGUGGGAUUUGCCGGUACCACCAGAGGAAGCACCGGCUAACUCCGUGCCAGCAGCCGCGGUAAUCCGGCGGGUGCGAGCGUUAUUCGGAAUUACUGGGCGUAAAGCGCGUGUAGGCGGGGGAGCAAGUCUGAUGUGAAAGCCCCGGGCUUAAACCGGGAAGUGCAUGGGAAACUGUUAGGAUUGAGUACGGGAGAGGAUGGGGGAAUUCCCGGUGUAGAGGUGAAAUUCGUAGAGAUCGGGAGGAAUACCAGCGGCGAAGGCGCCCGUCUGGACGGUUACUGACGCUGAGACGCGAAAGCGUGGGGAGCAAACAG